AAUAGAAAAUUACAAAAUUACUAGUUACGGCCAACCAAUUGUUGAAUUGUUGAAAGUUAUUUAAUUUUUAUAUAAUUAUCAAGUUUCUUAAAUCCCUUACAGCUUACUUCUAGUGAGUCCAUCAAUGAUGUUGAAGAAACAAACAGGAACAGAUGUAUUUAUAAUUCCCCAAAUUUAUGUGUGUGUGUGUGCUGGCAGGAUGUGUGGCCUGUAGAUCUGAAGAAUCAUUCCACAGCCAUGCAAUGCAUGGUGACAGUUCAAAAGCAGUAGGCAAAGCCCACCUGACUAUUGACCUUCGACCUGAUGGUGAAUACUAAAACUGAGGUUGAAACAAGCAAAGAAAGGCGAUAUGGAGGACAGAAAAAAUGUAGAAUUUGAUAUCUUCCCAAAUUCAUAUCUUGAGAAACAUUUUAAGAGUAUUUGAAAACAAUUGACACAGCAAAAGACACAAGCGUCAACUUCAGAAUGUUUUACACCAAAAGCAGAAAAAUUUUGUUGCAGCGAAAUCUAUAGCGAGUAGAAGCAGGGAUUUCAUAUGGACCAAUUAAAAGCCAGCAAGCCAAGCAGAGUACCCAGUUCACAUGUCAGGAUGAAUGAGUCUUAUCUCAAUAGCGCCCUCUAUGAUAGUGUCUGGAGUGCAGUUGAAACAUUGAAUAAAGCUCGCUAUUCAACAUCAAUGAUGAAAGACUACAACCAGCAUUGGAAGAGCUGCAGUCCUGUGAUGAUCCAAAUGGGCAACAGUUGGCUGGCUGUAAAUGUCAUUUAGUCUUAUAAGUGGACAGAUGAAAAAUUUGAAAAAGUCAACUACUGCCGCUAUAGUCAUUUGAAAGGGACACCUGAGUAGUCGUGAAUAAUAAACUGAACUCAUUCAGCUGAUGAAGUCUUGUUGACAACAAGACGAAAGCUAGCAAUUACUAUGAAGGAGAUGAGACAAUGUAUGCCACUAAAUCCACCCAGCAGCCCUCAGCAAGGCAGAAACCCUUGGGGGUCACACAUAGGCUUAGCCUAGUGAGCCUUGGACACACCCAAAGCUCGGUAUUCAACAUCAAUGAUGAAAGAUACGACCAGCAUUGGAAGAGCUGCAGUCCUGUGAUGAUCCAAAUGGGCAACAGUUGGCUGGCUGUAAGUGUCAUUUAGUCUUUAAGUAGACAGAUGAAAAAUUUGAAAAAGUCAAGUACUGCCGCUAUAGUCAUUUGAAAGGAAUUACUAUGAAGGAGAUGAGACAAUUAUGCCACUAAAUCCACCCAGCAGCCCUCAGCAAGGCAGAAACCCUUGGGGGUCUCACAUAGGCUUAGCCAGCGAGCCUUGGACACACCCGUGCAUAGUGGUUCCAGGAUUUCCAAGUUCAAACAUCUUAUUGAUUUCUACUCGUAUGUUAAUAUGAAAGAAAUGGUCUUCAAUGGAGAAUUUGGUUACUGGAAACCAAAAAGAACAAUUGGAGACAGGUUAUACUUCUAACGAAUCUGUCAAUGAUGUUGAAGAAACAAAAAGUUCUAAAGCAUAGGCAAGGCCCACCUGAG
RNAcentral lists this unclassified non-coding RNA (1520 nucleotides) under Anneissia japonica. RNAcentral describes it as "uncharacterized LOC117125323, transcript variant X11". The record is from RNAcentral. Lineage: Eukaryota; Metazoa; Echinodermata; Crinoidea; Comatulida; Comatulidae.